UGUCUUUUAAUUGGAGACGUGUAUGAAUGGAGAAAUGGGGGGAAGCUGUCUCUAAAAAAUUAAUUAAAAGUUAUUUUCUAGGUGAAAAAACCUAGGAUGAAUCAAGGACGAGAAGACCCUGGGACCUUUUAUAUUUUUAGUUGGGGCAACUAAGGUUCACACCUUUAGGAGUAAAUUUUUAAGUUAGAAUAAGGUACCCCAGGGAUAACAGUAUAAUAAAAUAAUUUUGUUUGUCACCUCGAUGUUGGACUAAGAAUUCCUCAGACUAGAAGUCUGAGGAACGGCUCUGUUCGAGCCAUUUCUCUUACGUGAUCU
This 315-nucleotide ribosomal RNA is filed under the name Dendrodoris senegalensis. Its description in RNAcentral is "partial large subunit ribosomal RNA". It matches the Rfam family "Bacterial large subunit ribosomal RNA", at positions 1970 to 2606 of the family's 2925-position model. The record is from RNAcentral. Lineage: Eukaryota; Metazoa; Mollusca; Gastropoda; Nudibranchia; Dendrodorididae.